UACGGAAGGCAGCAGUGGGGAAUAUUGCACAAUGGGCGCAAGCCUGAUGCAGCCAUGCCGCGUGUAUGAAGAAGGCCUUCGGGUUGUAAAGUACUUUCAGUCGUGAGGAAGGUGUUAAGGUUAAUAACCUUAGCAAUUGACGUUAGCGACAGAAGAAGCACCGGCUAACUCCGUGCCAGCAGCCGCGGUAAUACGGAGGGUGCGAGCGUUAAUCGGAAUUACUGGGCGUAAAGGGCACGCAGGCGGUUAAUUAAGUUGGAUGUGAAAUCCCCGGGCUUAACCUGGGAAUGGCAUUCAAGACUGGUUAGCUAGAGUCUUGUAGAGGGGGUAGAAUUCCGAUGUGUAGCGGUGAAAUGCGUAGAGAUGUGGAGGAAUACCGGUGGCGAAGGCGGCCCCUGGACAAAGACUGACGCUCAUGUGCGAAAGCGUGGGGAGCAAACGAGGGAUUUAGAUACC
This 456-nucleotide ribosomal RNA is filed under the name uncultured bacterium. RNAcentral's name for it is "bacterial SSU rRNA". It matches the Rfam family "Bacterial small subunit ribosomal RNA", at positions 340 to 786 of the family's 1533-position model. The record is from RNAcentral.